This 291-nucleotide unclassified non-coding RNA is filed under the name Hevea brasiliensis (rubber tree). Lineage: Eukaryota; Viridiplantae; Streptophyta; Magnoliopsida; Malpighiales; Euphorbiaceae. The record is from RNAcentral.
AACUCUCCGGUGGGAGACGGAGGUGGUCAAUGGUUGGGGAGGGGCCGUGGAGGCGGCGGGAGGGAGACAUGAGGAAGGAGGUGGAGACGGCGGCGAAGACGGAGAAGAAGAUGGUUUUGAUGUUGAGAGGGUCAGCAAUGGAGGGUAACCAUGGUUGUGCAAAGUCGUGGAAGACGAGUUGGGGGCGGAGGUCGGCGAGGAGGGAGGCGACUUGGGGCUUCAUGAGGUCGAGGGCUUGUUUGAGGAGCUCGGCCAUGGCCGGGGUGAUGGUGGCGGUGCUCUCGGCGCCGG